Molecule: non-coding RNA, 2272 nt
Organism: Taeniopygia guttata (zebra finch)
Lineage: Eukaryota; Metazoa; Chordata; Aves; Passeriformes; Estrildidae
Source: RefSeq, a predicted model, not a curated record
GGGACCUGUUGCCUGUGUCUUUUUCACUUUCCCAGUGAAGUAUUUUUCACUUUUUUCUCUUUCCUUAAAAAAAAAGAGUUACUGUGUUUUCUUUUCUCAUGCUAAAGAAAUCAACAAUGUAGAACACUUGAGACCUUUCUGAAUGAUGUUUCUAUACCUGUGAAGUUUGAAUAAGCCAAAUAACACCAUCAUGGGAUUAAACGAAAUUUUAAGGCCAUUUGGGAGAUUAUAAAAUGCUUGCACAUUUAACUCUUGGUUUGGUGAAUAAAAAGAAGAUGAUGUCUGCGACAAUUAGAACUUUAUGUCAUGCAAAAUUUUAAAAAAGGGAGAAAAGUAGGGGCAGUGGGACUGUUGAGUGCCUAAAGGGCCGAAGCUGCUAAGCAAUUUAUGAGGAACUGAUUUAUGAGAGUUCCAAGCUCUAAAUGCAUUCUACAGGUACUUCAGAAACAGCUACUUCUGUCUUCCUAAUAAGAAUGAUAUGACAAUGAAGACUUUCUAUUCCCUCCUUCCAUCUGUGUUCUACAGUCAUCUGUCAUCCUUUAUCCCUGUUUAGAUUGAAAAUGUUCCUGAUUUAUGCAGUGUUUGUAUUUACAAACUGAACAACCAGUAGGCUGCAUGUGACAGAAGCUGUGGGACCCAUGGAUUUCAGCCCUUGGCAGGAGGGCCCCUGUUACAAGAGGCCAUUUUUGUCCUUGGAGUUGUUAAAUUCUGGCCACUAAUACUUAUCACAAAAUAACUAAGAAAAAGCACAGUUGGACUCUGCCAUCCUUAGGACACACCACCUCUGAAUAAUAACAGAUCAUCCAAAGGAUGUCUGAAAACUACUGAGCCACCAGAAUGGUAAUACUUCCUAAAAUAUAACUCAGGCUUAUCAAUAAAUAGAUAUAUUUUUCCUUUGAUGACAAAGCCAAAUAUCUGUUAUUAUAUAGAACAUAUAGAUGCUCUGUAGCCUUUGAUGAGUCUUUGACACAAAUUGAAUUUUUAACUAAAAUUACACAAGCAUUUAUUUUAGAUUUUAAAAUGCUAUUUGAUAUACUAUAAAUUUAUGCAGUCAAUUGUAUGUCAGCACUUCAAAGAUAAUAGUUGUUCCUUUUUCCUAGAGAGAUAUGAAUUUAAUAUAAACAGUAAUUUAGAUAUAUGCUUACUCAAAUUAUGACUAACAAACAAGAUGAAGCUGCAAAUAAAUAACUUGGGAAAGAUAAAAAUGGCUCAGAAGUAUGCUUACUGUGUUCCUAUAAAAUAUGAUUGCAUCAGGAGAGCAGCAGAGGGAACAACAUAUAAAAAUGAAAAUAAUGUUUUUGACUAUGGUUUUUUUUGAUAGCUUCCCUUCAAAAUCAGACCAUGAAAGGACCAUGUCUUAUGCAAAGGGGGGAUAAAAUGUUCUUUUGUGUUUAUGUUUCUGCAAUAAAAAAAUAGCACUGAUAGUGCUAGAAUAGUGCUAGGAAACAGUUAAUCUAGUUUUUGAGUACAAGAACUGUGCAACCUUAGGGAUACUGGUUGAACCUUGAGAUCUACUGUAAGAAGAAAAUUGCAGUUUCAGGGAUAAUACUAUAUCCUAAAUUCCAUUGAAACCUCACUACCAGAGGUGAUUGUUGUAAGCAUCAUCAUGCCUGUACUUGAGGUGCUGACCAUUGCUGGACCUGGGCUUAUAAAAAGUACUUCAUCAGUAACUCGGUAGCUUUGAUUUACUCUUCUGGUAUCUAGUCCUUAACCACAGCCAUAAUUCCAUUGCAACAUGGAGUUUUUUUCUUCUACAAAUAAAAAUUCUAAUGAUUGCAGUACUUUAUUCUGAUCUUUCCCCCACUUCUCUUAUUCAUAUCUUCCUUAGGUUUUAUUCCCUCUACUUGUAUGUGCCUUAGUCAUUUCUGCACCUCUGAAAGCGUUCUACACUCCCAACUCAUCUGCCAAAAGCAUCUCUAAGAUCCACGCUAAUUACAUGGAAUCCUCAAAACCAAUGCAUUGACAGGAGCAUCCAUAUUUCUUCACCCUUAAAGAUUGUUGUUUUUUGCUUAGUACCACAAAAGUUUUGGAUGAACUGCAGAAGAAGGAAAAGUGUUUUCUUCUUAAGGCUCUGGGACUUCAUAAUGAAGAAGAUUUCAAGAUUGUGAAAACCUGAACCUUUGUAUCAUAGAUUUUUUUUACUGUGGAUUUUGUGGAGGUUUUUUCAUGUUUGCAUGCAGAGGAGUAUUACUAUAUAUAAAAGCACAUAUAAAACCAUGUUUUAAAUUGUUUAAUUAAUAUAUAAAAUAAAUCUAACAGAAUUCCCCAUAAA